CCUACGGGCGGCAGCAGUGAGGAAUAUUGGUCAAUGGACGAGAGUCUGAACCAGCCAAGUAGCGUGAAGGAUGACUGCCCUAUGGGUUGUAAACUUCUUUUAUAAAGGAAUAAAACGAGGCACGUGUGCCUCUUUGCAUGUACUUUAUGAAUAAGGAUCGGCUAACUCCGUGCCAGCAGCCGCGGUAAUACGGAGGAUCCGAGCGUUAUCCGGAUUUAUUGGGUGUAAAGGGAGCGUAGAUGGGUUGUUAAGUCAGUUGUGAAAGUUUGCGGCUCAACCGUAAAAUUGCAAUUGAUACUGGCAGUCUUGAGUACAGUUGAGGUAGGCGGAAUUCGUGGUGUAGCGGUGAAAUGCUUAGAUAUCACGAAGAACCCUGAUUGCGAAGGCAGCUUACUAAACUGUGACUGACAUUGAGGCUCGAAGGUGUGGGUAUCAAACGGGAUUAGAUACCCCGGUAGUC
RNAcentral lists this ribosomal RNA (460 nucleotides) under uncultured bacterium. Its description in RNAcentral is "partial 16S ribosomal RNA". It matches the Rfam family "Bacterial small subunit ribosomal RNA", at positions 338 to 795 of the family's 1533-position model. The record is from RNAcentral.